RNAcentral lists this long non-coding RNA (2662 nucleotides) under Triticum aestivum (bread wheat). RNAcentral describes it as "long non-coding RNA (TAES_LNC027282)". Lineage: Eukaryota; Viridiplantae; Streptophyta; Magnoliopsida; Poales; Poaceae. The record is from RNAcentral.
CGGCUAUUGCCGUCGGGGUGGCCUCCUCCCUCUGCCAUGGGCGCACCGAGUGGGAGGUUGAAGAAGGCCGGCUAGGCGGGCCCCUCCCUGCGCGGCCCCACCUGGCAGACUCACGGAGCCCGGCCCCGCCCUUGCCAGCAUGGCAAGUGGAGGCGUCUUCCCGUGAAGUACGUUUUCCCAUGAGUUAAACGUAACCUGAGGUAUUACGCUUCUUUCUUCUAAAAUCGUAUAUUCCCUCUGCUUUAGCCAAAAAUGCAUUUUCCCUGCCUUAAGACGUAAUCUAUGAAAUGCGUUUUCUGAUUUCCAGCCAGGGGCCUGUUUGUAGAAGUUAUUUUUACAGAUUGGUCCCUGAACUUCGUUUGGCUAUAACUUUUCAACCACAGCUCCGAUCGAGGUGAUUCCAAAGCCUACUUCUUCGUCUUGUCAAGCUCGUUCUGUUGGUAUCAAUUUCAUUAUGUUUUGACAUACUGGCAAUGACCUUUAUGCCCUUUCCCCUAAUUAGCCGCCUCCGAGAGAGAACCUUUUUCGGCGAUUCGUUCCGCGAGCUUUCCGCACUUUUCCCUCGUGUAUUCUUCAUCCCCAGGCAAGCCACAACACCCACUUGCAUGAUGACCAUGCAUUAGCCAUGGUUUUCAACUUGAACAUUUAAUAAAUGUCUGCUUGUUGUGAUACGGUUAUCGUUGUUUCUGUGAUGCUUAUGGAUUUGUGUUCAAUUUCAUGCUAUGUUUUUAUCCACCUGGUUAUCAUGUACUAGAUGCUAGUAUUUCUUUCAUAUGUCAUGCUUGGGUAGUGGUACCUGUUGGUGUUGGUUGUGCUCCUCGGUGCAUGACUAUCGUCUGUUACCGAGUACCAUUGUUAUGUAUGUUCCUUUGUAUAUAGUAGUUAAAUGCUUACUUAAUACUAUUCUUGAUAUGUUCUUGCAUGGUAUUUAUUGUUGAUGCUAGUGGUCAUGCUAUGUUUCUGAGUAGUGGAUGCUUGUGAUGUGCAUGUUAGUCAGUAUGCCAUGCUCAGUCGGAUAUAUGAUUUAUUGUUAUUGAUAUGUUAGGAAGUGAUGUUGCACAUCUAUGCUUAUGUUGAUAUCAUGUUCAUGCAUUAUAGUUGCAUCAUGUUAUUUUAAUAUGACUCAGCUUAUUGCAUUCAAGUUUAACCACAUAAUAAUGAACUUGAACAACUAUUGGCUGAGUCAUGGUGCCACCAAAUCGAGCUGACCAGUGCAGCCACACUUGCCUUAUGGGGGGUCUUAACUGGGUCUAUUGCCAUGCCUCUCAUCGGUGCCUCCAAAGAGGGAAGCUUAUGCGGGUGCUACCUUGGCCGGGUAGGACGACAUAAGCCUUGUGAGCCCGAGUUUGGUUAUGUGCACAUGUCCCCGUUUGGGACCGUUUAUGGUUUUGCCAUGAUGGUGGCCAUUGGGUGUCAUUGGUUGGCACGGGGCCACCCAGGACUUACCCCAGAGGGGAGUUUGUCGGAGUGGCUGGAAGAGUGUCAUGGUCAAUGGAUCGGUUUUGUCGGAACAUCGUUGGUCCACCCGAAUGGGAGUGCGAGGCCAUGGGUUCCGUGGUGUGGGUACAGUGUACUAACCUCUAUAGAGUGUGUGUGUGUGUUAAAUCUAUCGAUAGCCGCACCCGUGGAUAUGGGCCCAGUUCAUAGCCGGUCACACUAUGGGUCAACAGUGAUAAUAAUAAUGUGCUUAAUAACCCCAGUUCGAUGAUGAAAGAAGUUGGUUAUGUGAUCGUGAGAGGAUCACCGUGGUAUCGUGGAUACCAAAGUUGGUUAUGUGAUCGUGAGAGGGUCACCGUGGCAUUGUGGAUAUCGAAGUUGGUUAUGUGAUCGUGAGAGGAUCACCGUGGCAUCGUGGAUGCCGAAGUUGGUUAUGUGAUCGUGAGAGGAUCACCGUGGUAUUAAGUAUACCGAGUUGUUGGAUAUUUGUGGUGUUAUGCGAGAAUCAUGGGUAAAGAUCAAGCUCCUUGUGGUCAUGUCAUGAUUACUACGGUAUGGUUAAUACCAAUCUUUAUUGGAUCCUAUGAUGAUCAUGUGAUGUCCGCGGUGGUAAGUGAUGCAUGUGAUGGUUAGGAGGUAACCCGAGCAGAGUAAGUUGGUGCAUGAUACUAUCAUCAUGUUGCAUCCUAGUAUUCUCAUGUUCAUGUAUUCAUGCCAUACUAUUAUUGUGCUAGCGAUACCAUGUUGUUCAUGCCAUGUUGCUUUGAUAGUAUCAUGUUAAUCCUUGCUAACCGGUAAUUGCCAUGAUGUUGUUUGUCUUGAUUGUGUUUGGUUGCUGUGAGCUUGCAAGUACAUUCAAUGUACUGACCUGUUGUGUCAUGCUAGUUUGCAGGUCAUGCCGGAUUUGAUUGCUUGUUUGCCGUGGAUUCCUUGUUUGCGAUCUAGGAUAAGCAUUCCGGCCAGAGUCCUUGUGGAGUGGAGUUCAUCACCGUCGUCGUUGUUCCGCUGCUUCGUGUUGUUCUGCUGCUUGCAUAGAGCAACCAUGACAGGCGUAGUGUCGCCGUGCCGAUGUAAUUCCCAUGUACCCAUUUAGAUUGUAAUAAAGAGCUUAUUUGUUCUAUGCUAAGCAGUGCCGUAUUCCAGAAGACUUCUCCUCGAUCUCUAGGCUGGAAUACGGGGCAACGACUAUUCAAACAGACUAACUUCCCUGCAAGGGUGCAAAAAC